RNAcentral lists this ribosomal RNA (381 nucleotides) under Limosilactobacillus fermentum. RNAcentral's name for it is "bacterial SSU rRNA". It matches the Rfam family "Bacterial small subunit ribosomal RNA", at positions 801 to 1182 of the family's 1533-position model. Lineage: Bacteria; Bacillati; Bacillota; Bacilli; Lactobacillales; Lactobacillaceae. The record is from RNAcentral.
CGUAAACGAUGAGUGCUAGGUGUUGGAGGGUUUCCGCCCUUCAGUGCCGGAGCUAACGCAUUAAGCACUCCGCCUGGGGAGUACGACCGCAAGGUUGAAACUCAAAGGAAUUGACGGGGGCCCGCACAAGCGGUGGAGCAUGUGGUUUAAUUCGAAGCUACGCGAAGAACCUUACCAGGUCUUGACAUCUUGCGCCAACCCUAGAGAUAGGGCGUUUCCUUCGGGAACGCAAUGACAGGUGGUGCAUGGUCGUCGUCAGCUCGUGUCGUGAGAUGUUGGGUUAAGUCCCGCAACGAGCGCAACCCUUGUUACUAGUUGCCAGCAUUAAGUUGGGCACUCUAGUGAGACUGCCGGUGACAAACCGGAGGAAGGUGGGGACGA